This is a non-coding RNA of Camelina sativa (false flax), 411 nucleotides long. NCBI's taxonomy places the organism in Eukaryota, Viridiplantae, Streptophyta, Magnoliopsida, Brassicales, Brassicaceae. The record is from RefSeq and is a predicted model, not a curated record.
AACACCCUGCAAUGUAUAACGACCCUGAAACAACAUACCGACACUGUCACGUCACUCUUAUGUUGGGACAAGUGUCUGAUAUCGUCUUCCUUGGAUGGGACCAUAAAAGUUUGGGCUUGUUCUGAAAAUGAUGUUUUGAAAGUUAGUUACUCAUACACGCAGACAAGAACAGAGUGUUGUUCAUGCUCUUUGUGGGAUGCACGAUGCAGAGGCCAAACCGAUCAUAUUCUGCUCUUACCAAAAUGGAACUGUUGGCAUCUACGGCCUACCAUCUUUUGAAGAAAGAGGAAAGAUGUUCUCUACGCGCACACGAUCAGCACACUCACAGUUGGUCCUGGAGGAUUGCUUUUCAGUGAAGACAAAGGUGGGAAUAUGCGUGUAUGGAGUUUAGCUGCUGGCCCAAAAGUUUAG